GGCCUGCGGAGGGAUCAUUACAAGAAGCCGAAAGGCUACUUCAAACCAUCGCGAACUCGUCCAAGUUGCUUCGGCGGCGCGGCAUCCCGUCACCGGGGCGCCGCAGCCCGGCCUCUCCGGAGGUGCGGGGCGCCCGCCGGAGGUACGAAACUCUGUAUUAUAGUGGCAUCUCUGAGUAAAAAGCAAAUAAGUUAAAACUUUCAACAACGGAUCUCUUGGUUCUGGCAUCGAUGAAGAACGCAGCGAAAUGCGAUAAGUAAUGUGAAUUGCAGAAUUCAGUGAAUCAUCGAAUCUUUGAACGCACAUUGCGCCCGGUAGUACUCUACCGGGCAUGCCUGUUCGAGCGUCAUUUCAACCCUCAAGCCCUGCUUGGUGUUGGGGCCCUACGGCUGCCGUAGGCCCUGAAAGGAAGUGGCGGGCUCGCUACAACUCCGAGCGUAGUAAUUCAUUAUCUCGCUAGGGAGGUGCGGCGUGCUCCUGCCGUUAAAGACCCCAUCUUUAACCAAGGUUGACCUCGGAUCAGGUAGGAAUACCCGCUGAACUUAAGCAUAUCAAAAACCCGAAGAAA
This 568-nucleotide ribosomal RNA is filed under the name Coniochaeta sp. M182. RNAcentral's name for it is "eukaryotic LSU rRNA". The stretch from base 196 to 349 matches the Rfam family "5.8S ribosomal RNA". The record is from RNAcentral. Lineage: Eukaryota; Fungi; Ascomycota; Sordariomycetes; Coniochaetales; Coniochaetaceae.